Molecule: long non-coding RNA, 299 nt
Filed under: Dasypus novemcinctus (nine-banded armadillo)
Lineage: Eukaryota; Metazoa; Chordata; Mammalia; Cingulata; Dasypodidae
Description: lncRNA (ENSDNOG00000052574.1)
Source: RNAcentral
CCACGUGAGUCAGCUUCUUAAAGGAGACGGCUGGGUGGUUGUAAUUGCGGCAGCUGGGAGACUUGGCAUUAGCCGCGUCACCGAGGUGGUGGCGGAGGCCUAGCUUCCUGGGGCCCAAGGAAGCCCGGUGAUGACAGAUGAAAACAGCACGCUGGAUUUCAAGACAAGGCAGGGGAAGCUCCAUCCCUUACCAUUUGAGACCCAGAAGCAGAGGCUCCGUCUUCUUCCCACCAGAAUUUUUUUUUUUAGAAAAAAAUUUAUUGUCUUUUUAAAAAAUAAAGUUACAUAGAUCACACAAA